GACUGAUGCAGGGAGAGAGACGGGAGUUUGUUGAAAGGGCGGUUGCCUCUCUCUCCUCUGUCCAUGAUUUCUCCAUCGGAUUUGAUAACAGCCCUUUCGUAUUUCUCCCUUCAAUGAAGAAGAAAGAAGCAAUAGAAAAGGGAAAUUAUUAAAGGAAAAUGGGAAUUAUUUCACUUGGGAAUCCCAGAAAAGGUUGUGGAUGACUGAAACACAACCUUGUUCUAUGGUUUUUUCCAGUGAUCUUUAAUUCUUUUUAUGAAACCAAAGCUACGGAUUAUUAUUAUUAUUAUUAUUUUUGAAAAUGUUGAGAGGCUGUGAUGAUAUGGCUUUCUGUGUUCCUCUCCUUCUGGGCUACUGAUUUGGGGCAUUUGGGAGGAUCCGAUCCGUAUCUUGGCGGGGCGAUCCGGCAUCUUCCCGGCUAUCGCAGCCAUGGCGGUGUCGGCUUCCCAUUGCCCGGUAGAAACACAGAUCUGAGCCUCAACAGAUGAGUUUCCUUCAAAGUUUUGGCUGAGAAAUUGAAGUUUUAGCCUUAUGUUUGCUCUUAUCUGGUUAAUCCAUGAUUUGAUUUUGCCCUAUUUUCCUAAUGCUAAUACUACUGCUGUUUCUGUAGCAUCAUAUCUUCUUUUCAUCAAUGGGGAACUAGGAUUUGCAGCCAGCUGGGGUUGUGCUUUUUAUUUCCAAAAAGAGAAUAGUUCAAAUGGUGUAUGGGACUAUGGUGGUAAUCAACAAGCAAGAAGGUUAUUGAGAUGAUGAGGCCCAUUCAUGGCAGGGCAACCCAGCCAGGCUUGUCUGAAUUUUCACAAAGGAGAGAGAGAUUUGCAGCCAUGGGUGGUGGUGUCAACUGUCAAGUGCUCCACUGCCUGACUAGAUAUCUGAGCCUCAUUAUUUUAAUGUUAUUUUGGGUUUCAGUUAUCUUUUGUAGAUUGUGUGUGAUUUGCACUGCACUGGAAAUCACAGACUGAAACCAUAAAAACUACGGAGUAUUUGACAAUCAAGCAUUGAUCCUUCUUCCCAACAUCUUCCUCUUAGUUAUACACAGAAGAAAUGAGAUUUAAUAAAUAUAUAUAUCAUUGCCUCAUUAGUAGUAGUUACGAGUUUAUCUCCCUUUAAUCACCCAAGUCCCAGUAUAUAUAGGAGAGGAAGGUUCAGUUAAGAAUAGGUUCUCUAGUGAUGAGAAAAUGAGUUUAGUUUAGUUUUGUAAUAAUACAAAA
Molecule: long non-coding RNA, 1211 nt
Organism: Ipomoea triloba (trilobed morning glory)
Lineage: Eukaryota; Viridiplantae; Streptophyta; Magnoliopsida; Solanales; Convolvulaceae
Exons: 2
Source: RefSeq, a predicted model, not a curated record